AUUGAACGCUGGCGGCAGGCUUAACACAUGCAAGUCGAGCGGGGUGAUGGUGCUUGCACUAUCACUUAGCGGCGGACGGGUGAGUAAUGCUUAGGAAUCUGCCUAUUAGUGGGGGACAACAUCUCGAAAGGGAUGCUAAUACCGCAUACGUCCUACGGGAGAAAGCAGGGGAUCACUUGUGACCUUGCGCUAAUAGAUGAGCCUAAGUCGGAUUAGCUAGUUGGUGGGGUAAAGGCCUACCAAGGCGACGAUCUGUAGCGGGUCUGAGAGGAUGAUACGCCACACUGGGAGUGAGACACGGCCCAGACUCCUACGGGAGGCAGCAGUGGGGAAUAUUGGACAAUGGGGGGAACCCUGAUCCAGACAUGCCGCGUGUGUGAAGAAGGCCUUAUGGUUGUAAAGCACUUUAAGCGAGGAGGAGGCUCUUUUGGUUAAUACCCAAGAUGAGUGGACGUUACUCGCAGAAUAAGCACCGGCUAACUCUGUGCCAGCCGCCGCAGUAA
This 503-nucleotide ribosomal RNA is filed under the name uncultured bacterium. Its description in RNAcentral is "partial 16S ribosomal RNA". It matches the Rfam family "Bacterial small subunit ribosomal RNA", at positions 30 to 523 of the family's 1533-position model. The record is from RNAcentral.